GUUAGUGUAGUUAAGUUUUUAAUAAAGCAAGACACUGAAGAUGUCUAGACGGACCCGCUAGUCCCACCAACA
Non-coding RNA from Physeter macrocephalus (sperm whale), 72 nucleotides. Lineage: Eukaryota; Metazoa; Chordata; Mammalia; Artiodactyla; Physeteridae. The record is from the annotation of a RefSeq genome assembly.